AUGAGCGGGCGCCAGCUCCACGUGGGGCCUGGCCCGUGCGGGCGCUCGCCGAGGCGGCCGGCCAAUGGGAGCGCGGCGGGAGCGGCCCGCCCCACGUGGGGCCCGCCGAGCCGCCUUCCUAUUGGGCGGCCGGGCCCGGCCGCCAGGAGCUGUGUCAGUCUGCGGGGGGCGGGCGGGGGAGCGGCGCUUAACCCCUGCGGUGCCGGGCGGGCCGCGGCGGGAGCGGGCGCCGGGGGGCACCGGGGGGCACCGGGGCGGGCCCGGGGCCCCGGCGUCCGCGCCCGGGGGUGGUGGCGGCCCCCAGGCCGCCCCCCGCAGGCCUGGCCCGGCUGCCCGGCCGUGGGACACCCCCCCCGGCCCGCGGAGGGCACGGCCCCGGGCCGGGCCGCAGGGGGUGCCCGGGGACCGGCCCCGGCGUUCCGCCGCCGCAGCCGGGCCGGGCCGGGCCGGGCCGCGCUCCCCGGGCUUCCGCCGCAGGCUCUGUCCCGGCCUCCGCCCGACGCGGCGGGCUGGCGUUCGGGGCUUUCUUCUGCUACGCGCUCAGCCGACCCGAGCGGCCCCCCCGCGCCGCCGACACCUUUCUGGAUCCCGAGCAGGAAAACCCCAAAUCCUGCCCUGCGGCACCGGCACGGGCCUGGGCGGGGCCCCCCGAGCCUCCCCCCGGCCCCCCCAGCCCCCCCGCAGCCCCCGGCUUUCCCUCGGGGUCUCUCCGGCGGUUUUCUCCUUUCGGGGAGAUCGGCGGCACUCGGACAUUUCCCGCAGUCGAUCCGGGGUUACGGCGCAGGAAAUCAAACGUCUGAGCAGCGGCGAGGGCUCAGCCUCUGCUCCUGCUUAACCUCGAGGCGAGAGCGGGCCCGGCCUCCCCCCCGCCGCAGCUCCGUCCCCUCGGUCCCGCUGCCACCGGUCAGGGGACAGCCCUGGCCUCGCAGGCCAUGGGUUUUCCUGGGCCAUCAAAGCGACUCUUCGGAGCAGGAAGCAAAGCAAAGCAAGCCGCUGCGUAGCCCCUUUUCCUUUGCUCAGAUGACAUUUAUCCAGGGAGACGUAGGCACUGGCCAUGCAGAGGGGAAGCUCCGUCCUGCAACGUUAAAAUUUGCUGUUAAAUGCACCUCUGGCAUCAGCAGCUCGUCCGUCCUGUGCCCAGGGGUGGCCACGUGCAAGCAAUGGUAUCUGCAGCUCGCCUGCUGCGGGGCCAGCAGCAGGCUUUGCGCCUACAACAGGAGGGAAAGCCACUUGACAGAAAGCAAAUCAUCCCUAUGGGGCCGUGCAGACACCCCUCCGCACACACAGACAGGCACACACCAGUCAGGAAACAAACGUGGUGAUGGAGAAGAAAAGCAACAGCCGAAAUGUCAAGAUUUGAUCUGA
Molecule: long non-coding RNA, 1365 nt
Filed under: Anser brachyrhynchus (Pink-footed goose)
Lineage: Eukaryota; Metazoa; Chordata; Aves; Anseriformes; Anatidae
Description: lncRNA (ENSABRG00000004582.1)
Source: RNAcentral